RNAcentral lists this ribosomal RNA (253 nucleotides) under uncultured bacterium. RNAcentral's name for it is "partial 16S ribosomal RNA". It matches the Rfam family "Bacterial small subunit ribosomal RNA", at positions 524 to 776 of the family's 1533-position model. The record is from RNAcentral.
UACGUAGGGGGCAAGCGUUGCCCGGAUUUAUUGGGCGUAAAGGGCGCGUAGGCGGCUCUGCACGUUCGUUGUGAAAUCGCCCGGCUCAACUGGGCGGGGUCAGCGGAUACGGCAGAGCUUGAGCAAGCUAGGGGGCAAUGGAAUUCCCGGUGUAGUGGUGGAAUGCGUAGAUAUCGGGAGGAACACCAGUGGCGAAGGCGGUUGCCUGGGGCUUACCUGACGCUGAGGCGCGAGAGCGUGGGGAGCGAGCCGG